Non-coding RNA from Acyrthosiphon pisum (pea aphid), 174 nucleotides. Lineage: Eukaryota; Metazoa; Arthropoda; Insecta; Hemiptera; Aphididae. The record is from Rfam.
AUUUUAUUUUUAUAUUAAUAUAAGCAAGUUCGAAAGAUAGUGGCUAAUCUCUAUUUCAAGGGUGAUGCCUAUGAUGUUGGUUUUUGCUCCUUGAAAGUAGUAGAAUGACUGAUUAUGAAAUUCUAAUGGUUGUCAUAUCAAUCAGUGGUUUAAUAUUAAUUAGCAACAUUCAAA